CAGUAGCCACGGGAAUACGUAGGUGACAAGCGUUGUCCGGAAUUAUUGGGCGUAAAGGGCUCGCAGGCGGUCUCUUAAGUCUGAUGUGAAAGCCCCCGGCUCAACCGGGGAGGGUCAUUGGAAACUGGGAAACUUGAGUGCAGAAGAGGAGAGUGGAAUUCCACGUGUAGCGGUGAAAUGCGUAGAGAUGUGGAGGAACACCAGUGGCGAAGGCGACUUUCUGGUCUGUAACUGACGCUGAGGAGCGAAAGCGUGGGGAGCGAACAGGAUUAGAUACCCCCGUAGUCCCUGUCUCUUAUAC
This 301-nucleotide ribosomal RNA is filed under the name uncultured bacterium. Its description in RNAcentral is "partial 16S ribosomal RNA". It matches the Rfam family "Bacterial small subunit ribosomal RNA", at positions 509 to 807 of the family's 1533-position model. The record is from RNAcentral.